AUUUUCUUUGACAAACAAAUAUCUCACUUUGAAUUUGGAAUAUUUCCAUGCCAAGAAAAUAAUGUAUUUCCCCCAAGUCAGUAAUUUCAAACACCUUUUUCAAUUCAUUUUUCACCUUUUUAAUCAUUUUAUAGCUACCACCAGUAAUCAAGAGAUCAUCCGCAUACAAUGAGAUAAUGAUCAUCUCUUUCUCCUCUUGUUUUAUGAACAAAGUUUGUUCAUUCAAACUUCUCAAGAGGCCAAGUUUGCUCAAAUGUUCAUCUAUCCUGCUGUACCACGCUCUUGGAGCUUGUUUAAGUCCAUACAAGGCCUUUCUUAGUAGAUCAACUUUCUCUUCAUUUUCUACCAAUUGGAAACCUUCAGGCUGUUCGAUGGAAAUCUCUUCCUCCAAGUGUCCAUUCAAAAAUGUUGAUUUAACAUCCAACUGGUAGAUCUUCCAACCUCCGUGAACUGCUAUAGCAAAAAGCGUUCUAAUGGUUUCAUGCCUAGCUACUGGAGCAAACGUAUCAGUGAAGUCUAUUCCAUAUUAUUGGGCAUAUCCUUCCACAACUAGUCUGGCUUUAAGCUUAUUGACAGAUCCAUCUGGAUUUAACUUUGUUUUGUAUACCCACUUCAUUCCAAUUACAUGUUUAUCUUUUGGUCUAUCAACCAGUACCCUAGUUCUAUUCUUUUCAAUCAUGUUUAGCUCCUCCUUCAUUGCAUCCAUCUGCUCUUUUGAACCUGCUGCUUCAGCAAAGUUUGAAGGCUCCAAUGCAGCAACAUUACACCUAGCAUAUAUGUCUGGAAGUGGCAUUAUUUUCAGCACAGCAUUUUCAGAUUCUGAGUCACUAUCCGACUCUCCUUCUUCUUCAUUAACAUCAGUAUCAUCUGCCUGAGGAAUUGCUAUUGGAUUAUGAGGUUGCUUGACUGAAUUUGAUUCCCAAUUCCAUGUAGAUUCCUCAUCAACUUUGAUGUCUCUGAUGGAUAUCACCUUCUUGCUUUGUGGAUUGAAAACUCUAUAUCCUUUGGCAUUAUUGCAAAAACCAAUCAAGACACCUAUCUCAGCUUUUUGACUCAAUUUAUCCCUCUUAACAUCAGGAACAUGAACAAAGCAAACACUACCAAACACUUUCAAAUGAGAUACAUCAGGUUUUAUUUCAUACCAAGCUUCAAAGGGUGUCUUUUUAUCCAAAGUUUUUGUAGGCAAUCUGUUGAGUAGAUACACAGCUGUAUUUACUGCCUUUGCCCAGAACUCCUUAGGUACUUUUUUCUCAAACAUCAAGCAUCUUGCCAUCUCCAUAACCGUUUUUUGUUUCCUUUCACAUACACCAUUCUGCUGGGGAGAAUAAAGUAUAUUCAGUUGAUGUUUGAUUCCCAUAUCUUCACAAAAUUUAUCAAACUGACUACAACAAUAUUCUGUUCCAUUAUCUAAUUUGAUGGCUUUGAUUUUGCUAUUACAUUCAUUUUCCACCAAAUUCUUAAAAUUUUGAAACACAUUGGCCACCUCAGAUUUCAUUUUCAAGAAAUAUACCCAACAUAUUCUUGAUAUAUCAUCUAUGAAGAGGACAAAAUACUUACUACCAUUCAUAGUUGGUAUUCUCAUUGGUCCACAGAUAUCUGAAUGCACCAAUUUAAGCCUUUUUGUUGCCCUCUUUGCUUGAUUUUUAGGAAAUGGUAAUCUUGUUUGCUUUCCAAAUUGGCAUACAUCACACACACAAUCAUUACAACUGAUUUCAAGCAUAUUUUCAACUAGCUUCAGUUCAUGCAUAUGUUUGAGUGAUG
This 1761-nucleotide long non-coding RNA is filed under the name Olea europaea subsp. europaea. Lineage: Eukaryota; Viridiplantae; Streptophyta; Magnoliopsida; Lamiales; Oleaceae. The record is from RNAcentral.